RNAcentral lists this long non-coding RNA (189 nucleotides) under Struthio camelus australis. RNAcentral describes it as "lncRNA (ENSSCUG00000006555.1)". Lineage: Eukaryota; Metazoa; Chordata; Aves; Struthioniformes; Struthionidae. The record is from RNAcentral.
UCUCCCACCCUUUCCCUCCCCACCUCCGCUUUAGACUGUGAAUCGAGCAACGAUUUUUAAAGAAAAUGUUUAUUCGCCUUUCUUUUAGGCAGAGCUGGUGCACGUUCGGAGCUCUGUAUUUUGCGGAAUCACACUGAGACUUGCUGCUUCGAUGACUGCUAAAAUGUAGCGUCACCUACCAGGUGUCUU